AUGGACAGGAAUUUGACAAUGGAAAAAUGGAUUCUCUACCUUUUUGCCGUACUUGAUAAGAUGCUCCAAGCCGCAAUGCCAGUUAGACAGAGACAGCCUUCCAAACUGCAGACAUCAGUGCUUGGUGAAUCAUCUGGGGAAAAAAGGAAGGUUUUAAAUGAGAAGGAAAGAUAGAUACAACAGGACUCUAAAAAUAAUAAUUGGGGUUUUCAAUACACCACUCUUUUCCUCUCCGCACCCAAGCAAGCAGAGUGAGAAUCAGUAAGGGCCCAGUUAAACCCAGUUUUGGGGGGGGCCCCAUGGUCUAGCCCAGGGCUAUUGCUCUACACUCUCUCCUAGGGUUGCUCACAGACCAGUCUUUGAUCUGAAGCCUGAGCUCCCACCACAUUCUCACCUCUCACUCACUCUCCAAUUUUUGUUUUUAUUCUCCUGACUUCUGUUCUGAUUUUUUUGCUCCAUUUUUUGCCCCUACUUCGUGUUUCGACUUGAUUGAUUACGAUGUAAUCAUAGGUAUAGACUUAUCUUCAGAACUAUCAAGUCUUCAGCCCAGGUUCAAGCUCAUGGCCUCACGCUCCUUACCCCCAGGAUUCCUGUUCCUAAGACUGCCUCACCCAAACGUAGACCCUUAAUAUGUCUCACAUGAAACCCAAAAGUGGAAAUUUAUCUGGAAAC
This 672-nucleotide long non-coding RNA is filed under the name Mustela putorius furo (domestic ferret). RNAcentral describes it as "lncRNA (ENSMPUG00000024724.1)". The record is from RNAcentral. Lineage: Eukaryota; Metazoa; Chordata; Mammalia; Carnivora; Mustelidae.